Hibiscus syriacus is the source of this 3493-nucleotide RNA transcript. It is a transcript of the gene named histidine kinase 3-like, with no coding region annotated. NCBI's taxonomy places the organism in Eukaryota, Viridiplantae, Streptophyta, Magnoliopsida, Malvales, Malvaceae. The record is from RefSeq and is a predicted model, not a curated record. The transcript is spliced from 11 exons.
UCUUUCCUAUUUUUUCCUUUUCCUGCCCUCACUAUCUACAGCUCCUUCAGGUUUUAUCCGUCUUGUAGUCCAUUUGGAGUUUACUGAGCUUUUUUCACCUUCCUUCUUAUUCCCAAGGUUCUAAAUUUUCUGGUGUGUUUCUAUAGAUUUUACAGUGGCUCUAUCUUGUUUGGAUGUUAUGUUGCUGGAUAGCUUGUAUGAUGUCCAUGAACUGUUUGAUCAAUUGUCAAUUUAGUUGCACCGAGGCUAGUCUCGUUGGUGACAGUGGUUGUACUGAGAUGUGGUUCAAAGUAUGGGAUAAAAUAUCAACCUGUGGUUUGAAGCUCCACCAUCAUUACUACCAGUUCAUUGGUUCCACGAGAGUCAGCGAGUCUUGGUGGAGAAAGCUCCUUCUUUCAUGGGUGAUUUGUUGGACUGUGGUUUCUAUUUGGAUCUUCUGUUAUAUGAACUCUCAAGCUACCGAGAAGAGGAAGGAGACACUCGCUAGCAUGUGCGAUGAGAGAGCUCGGAUGUUGCAGGAUCAAUUUAAUGUAAGCAUGAACCAUAUCCAGGCCAUGUCGAUUUUGAUCUCGACUUUCCAACAUGGCAAAAAUCCUUCUGCUAUUGAUCAGACAACUUUUGCGAGGUACACGGAGCGAACUGCUUUUGAGAGGCCCCUCACUAGUGGCGUGGCAUAUGCUGUAAGGGUGCCCCACUCUGAAAGGGAACAAUUUGAGAAGCAUCAAGGCUGGACUAUUAAGAGGAUGGAUACACUUGAACAAAAUCCAGUUCAUAAGGACGACUAUAAUCCCGAUCUCUUGGAACCAUCACCUGUUCAGGAAGAAUAUGUGCCUGUUAUCUUUGCACAGGAUAUCAUAUCACAUGUGAUUUCUAUGGAUCUGUUGUCAGGAAAGGAAGAUCGCGAGAAUGUACUGCGUGCAAGCAAAUCAGGAAAGGGGGUGCUGACAGCUCCUUUUAGGUUGCUCAAAACAAAUUGUCUUGGAGUUAUUUUGACAUUUGCAGUCUACAACAGGGAUCUUCCCUUGAAUGCAACUCCUAAUGAAAGGGUUCAAGCAACUGAUGGGUAUCUUGGUGGAGUCUUCGAUGUUGAGUCACUCGUGGAGAAGUUGCUACACCAGCUUGCAAGUAAACAAACUAUCCUCGUUAAUGUGUUGGACACGACCAAUCAGUCUCACCCUAUCAGUAUGUAUGGCUCAAAUGCAUCAGAUGACGGGUUGGAGCUUGUCAGCUACCUUAAUUUCGGAGAUCCUUUCAGAAAGCAUGAGAUGCACUGCAGGUUUAAACAAAAGCCACCGUGGCCAUGGUUAGCAAUAACUACUUCAAUUGGCAUCCUUGUGAUUGCAUUACUUGUUGGGCAUAUAUUCCAUGCAACUGUUAAUCGGAUUGCGAAGGUGGAAGAUGAUUGCAAUAAGAUGAUGGAGCUCACAAAACAGGCUGAGGCAGCUGAUGUGGCCAAAUCUCAGUUCCUUGCUACUGUUUCCCAUGAGAUUAGAACCCCGAUGAAUGGUGUUCUGGGAAUGUUGCAUAUGCUUAUGGUCACGGAUUUAGAUGUUAGACAACUAGAUUAUGUCAGAACUGCACAAGCUAGUGGAAAGGCUCUGGUUACACUUAUAAACGAGGUUUUGGAUCAGGCUAAGAUCGAAUCUGGUAACCUAGAGCCAGAAGGAGUGCAGUUUGAUCUACGAGCAGUCUUGGACGACGUGUUAUCGCUAUUUUCGGGGAAGGCUCAGGACAAAGGAGUCGAGCUGGCAGUUUACGUUUAUGAUCGAGUUCCUGAGAUGCUAAUUGGUGAUCCUGGGAGAUUCAGACAAAUAAUCACCAAUCUAAUGGGAAACUCAAUUAAAUUCACUGAGAAAGGGCACAUCCAUGUUACAGUUCAUCUCGUGGAAGAGGUAAUUGAUUCAAUAGAAGUUGAGACAAAAUUGUUGCCAAAGAAUACCUUGAGUGGCUUCCCAGUUGCGGAUAGACGGCAGAGCUGGAAAGGGUUUAGAACUUUCAGUCAAGAAGAAUCCAUUCAUCCUCUCUCUGACAGCAUUCAUCUUAUCGUAUCAGUUGAAGAUACAGGAGAAGGAAUCCCUAUAGAAGCACAACCUCGUGUUUUCACACCUUUUAUGCAAGUUGGCCCUUCUAUAUCCCGAACACAUGGGGGCACGGGCAUUGGACUAAGCAUAAGCAAGUGUUUGGUUAGUCUAAUGAAAGGAGAAAUCAGUUUUGUUAGUAUUCCUAAGAUUGGUUCCACCUUUACCUUUACUGCUGUUUUCACUAGCAGCUCCUCUAGUUCAAAGGAGUACAAGAGUCAGCAAAUCAACAACCAUACCAACUCAGUAUCCUCUGAGUUUCGUGGGAUGAGAGCAUUAGUUGUGGAUCCUAGACCUGUCCGGGCCAAAGUGUCGAGAUAUCAUAUCCAGAGGCUGGGAAUUCAUGUUGAAGUAGUUUCCACUUUUAAACAAGGUUUAUCUAUUAUAAGCCAGAGGAGUAAUGUUACACACAUGGUUCUCAUUGAACAGGAGGUUUGGGAUCGAGAUCUAAACAGUUCGUCUCUCUUCAUCAAUAACUUGGAGAAAAUAGAUCUUAGUACUUCUCCAAAGGUAUUCCUUUUGUCUAAUUCUAUCAGAUCUUCCCGAGCAAAUCCUACUACUUCUGGUGUUUGUAACUUGACCGUCAUCCCGAAGCCCUUGAGGGCUAGCAUGUUAGCGGCAUCUCUACAACGAGCCAUGGAUGAUGGGAACAAAGGGAAUCCAUGUUAUGGGGAGUUACCUAGUCUGUCUCUUAGGAGUCUUCUUCUCGGGAGAAAAAUUCUAAUUGUAGAUGACAACAAUGUGAACCUAAAAGUAGCUGCUGGUGCCUUGAAAAAAUACGGAGCUGAUGUGGUUAGCUCUUCAAGUGGGAUGGAAGCUAUUGAAUUGCUUACACCACCUCACCAAUUCGAUGCCUGUUUCAUGGAUAUUCAAAUGCCUGAAAUGGAUGGGUUUGAAGCUACAAAGAGAAUUCGGGAUUCAGAACAGAAUAUCAAUAAUCGUAUCCAUUUUGGAGAAUUAUCGGUCCAAACUUGUAAUAAUGUUUUGAACUGGCAUGUACCAAUUCUGGCUAUGACCGCAGAUGUUAUCCGGGCCACGCACGAGGAAUGCCUACGGUGCGGAAUGGACGGAUAUGUGUCAAAACCAUUUGAAGCUGAGCAAUUAUACCAGGAAGUUUCACGAUUUUUCCAUUAGGCAUUAGAUCAGAAUCUGUUGGAAAGGACUUCUGCUUACAACAUGCCAAUGGUAUCGAUACGGCUGCCUCUUCUUUGGCAUGCUUUGAGACACUUCAAUAAGUUCCAUUUCUUUCCAAGAGAUUGUCGGACUGUGCCAGUGUAUAUAAAGCCAUGCUCGGAUAUCAUAUUUUCUUGUAAUUUACAGUACAGAUAGCAAAGCUUUCUCAAUCUUUUUCCUUUUUUGCCGGUAAAGCUGGCCUUUCAGCAGGGUUGGUGAAUUGAGAUUUCUGUGCAGUAAAA